RNAcentral lists this ribosomal RNA (506 nucleotides) under uncultured bacterium. RNAcentral describes it as "partial 16S ribosomal RNA". It matches the Rfam family "Bacterial small subunit ribosomal RNA", at positions 28 to 523 of the family's 1533-position model. The record is from RNAcentral.
GAUGAACGCUAGCGGCAGGCCUAACACAUGCAAGUCGAGGGGCAGCACAUAAAGUGGUUUACUACUUUUGGUGGCGACCGGCGGACGGGUGCGUAACGCGUAUGCAACCUGCCUCCAACAGGGGGAUAACGGAGAGAAAUUUCCACUAAUACCCCAUAAUAUCAGAAUCGGCAUCGGUUUUGGUUGAAAACUCCGGUGGUUGGAGAUGGGCAUGCGUUGUAUUAGAUAGUUGGUGAGGUAACGGCUCACAAAGUCAACGAUACAUAGGGGGACUGAGAGGUUAGCCCACCAGACUGGUACGGAGACCACGACCAGACUCCUACGGGAGGCAGCAGUGAGGAAUAUUGGUCAAUGGGGGCAACCCUGAACCAGCCAUGCCGCGUGCAGGAAGACGGCUCUAUGAGUUGAAAACUGCUUUUACAAGGGGAUAAAUCGGUGUACGUGUACACCGUUGAAGGUACCUUGGGAAUAAGGAUCGGCUAACUCCGUGCCAGCCGCCGCAGUAA